This 709-nucleotide ribosomal RNA is filed under the name uncultured rumen bacterium. RNAcentral's name for it is "bacterial SSU rRNA". It matches the Rfam family "Bacterial small subunit ribosomal RNA", at positions 53 to 760 of the family's 1533-position model. The record is from RNAcentral.
ACAUGCAAGCUCGAGCGAGAAAUUAAGAAGACGCGUUUUCGGACAAGCUCAUCUUAAUGGAAAGCGGCGGACGGGUGAGUAACGCGUAGGCAACCUGCCCUUAGCAGAGGGAUAGCCAUUGGAAACGAUGAUUAAAACCUCAUAAUGCUGUAGUAACACACGUUACAUCAGCCAAAGAUUUAUCGGCUAAGGAUGGGCCUGCGUCUGAUUAACUAGUUGGUGAGGUAACGGCUCACCAAGGUAACGAUCAGUAGCCGACCUGAGAGGGUGAUCGGCCACAUUGGAACUGAGACACGGUCCAAACUUCUACGGAAGGCAGCAGUAAGGAAUCUUGCACAAUGGGGGAAACCCUGAUGCAGCAACGCCGCGUGAACGAUGAAGGCCUUCGGGUUGUAAAGUUCUGAUCUUGGGGAAGAAGAAAGUGACGGUACCCAAGGAGAAAGCCCCGGCUAAAUACGUGCCAGCAGCCGCGGUAAUACGUAUGGGGCAAGCGUUAUCCGGAAUUAUUGGGCGUAAAGAGUGCGUAGGUGGUUACCUAAGCGCAAGGUUUAAUCUUGAGGCUCAACCUCAUUCUGCCUUGCGAACUGGGCUACUUGAGUGCUGGAGGGGAAAGCGGAAUUCCAGUGUAGCGGUGAAAUGCGUAGAUAUUGGGAAGAACACCGGUGGCGAAGGCGGCUUCUGGACAGUAACUGACACUGAGGCACGAAGC